RNAcentral lists this transfer RNA (58 nucleotides) under Salmo salar (Atlantic salmon). It matches the Rfam family "tRNA", at positions 8 to 63 of the family's 71-position model. From Rfam's summary of the family: Transfer RNA (tRNA) molecules are approximately 80 nucleotides in length. Lineage: Eukaryota; Metazoa; Chordata; Actinopteri; Salmoniformes; Salmonidae. The record is from Rfam by way of RNAcentral.
UGGCACAGUUGGUAGAGCAUGGUGCUUGCAACGCCAAGGUUGUGGGUUCUAUUCCCGC